This 2057-nucleotide long non-coding RNA is filed under the name Capra hircus (goat). RNAcentral's name for it is "lncRNA (ENSCHIG00000000597.1)". Lineage: Eukaryota; Metazoa; Chordata; Mammalia; Artiodactyla; Bovidae. The record is from RNAcentral.
CUCAGAUGGUAAAGAAUCUGCCUGCAGUGAAGGAGACCUGGGUUCAAGCCCCAAGUUGGGAUGAUCUCCUGGAGAAAAGAAUAGCAACCCACUCCAGUAUUCUUACCUGGAGAAUUCCAUGGACAGACCAUGGGGUUGCAAAGAGUCAGACACGACUGAGCAACUAACACUUUCACUUUUCACUUUCACUUCACAUAGUUUAUUUACACUGUUGUGUUAAUUUCUGCUUGCAGGAGAGUGGCUCAGUUAUAGAGAAAUAUACACUUUUUUAAUAUUCUUUUCCAUUAUGGUUUAUUAUAGGGUAUUGAAUAGAGUUCCCUGUGCUACACAGGAGUACCUUGUUAUUUAUCCACUUUCUAUAUAGUAGUUUGAGGUUAGUACAUGCAUAUUAGAAUUUAAUUAAGGCUUUAUAUCAAGCUCACCAAUUUCUGGAGUCUGUUUUAUCCCCUCAUCACUCAUCCCACUCCUUUUGUAAAUCAGGAUAUUUCUUUCUGGGUACCUGGCAUCUCUCCUUUUCAUCUUAAUCUUCAGGGUGAAAUCCGUGAAGCUGACUGCCCGGUCAUUCAUUUGCCCACCUGUCCCUGUUAACUCCUCUUCUGGGGCAUUACAGCAACCAGAGGAAGAAGACUGGAGGACCCUGAGGGUGGUCUGUGACCCCACAUCCCCAGAGGUUCCCAAGAGAACUGUCAUGGAGUCUCAGAGUCACUGGGCAGAGGAAAGGGACAAGCAACAGAGAAGUAUCUCAGUGGCAGGACCCACUCGGGAGAGCUGGGGCGAGGCUGGCUGAGGUCCUCGAGGAGCUUGGACUCAGGCGCCUGCCUGGCAGUGGAAUGAUGCUUCCCGACCUCUCAGACCUCUGGGCGCACUUAGAAAGCACUUCACGCCUUCUGUCGGCACACGGCUGCCCAGGGGAACCUCAGGGACAGGGGGCAGAGAUCGUGGCCUGCGAGAUGAUGGGUACCCUGAUGCACUCACGACAGUAUCUCAAAGAUGCCACGCCGCUGGCUGCUCCCAAGAACGAAGCCACCCUCCCAGAGAGGUGGCCGGAAGCCGGGCUGCAGGAGGCUCGACUUUUUAGCCGGAGGAUGCACCGCCUUCUCAGGUGUCCUGGGAACUGCUGAAGGACCAUGAUGGGGAGCAAGCUGGUCCCCAGGACAGAGCAGAGCAGCUGGAACCAAGAAGCGCCCGGAGCCAGAUGCAAAGCCGGCAGAUCUGAGCGCCCUGAGCCGCGGUUCCUGAUUGGACGGUCUUUGCUUUGCCAUCACCCUAUUGGCUCACAGUUCUAGAUGAUUUUGAAUGGUUGGCUGGUCUUUUUUUUUUUUUUUUUUUCCGUCUGUCUUUCGUUAUUUUUUCUUGGCCUUGGGGAUUGUGUAAGAAAACAAUUGCUUUGGAAAAUAUAAUUCUGUGGCUGAAAUUAACCUUGUUUAUGAACCAAUAUUGUCCCUAGGGAUUUCUGAAUUGUCAUCUGGGUUACCUAGUAAAUGGGUCUGCAUGGUUUGAUGUGUGUAUUCCUGAUCUUGAGAUUAAAAAUGCAUUUUCAUAUCUGGAUCCAAGUAAUGGGCCGAGUCCCACUUGCCUUGCUACUGAAGCAAUCUCAGUGCGGCAUUGCUUGGAGUUGAAAUAUAAUCAAACAUAUUAUACCUGGGGCUCUUGCAUGCUCUUUGGGGUUUAUGCUACCCCACAAAGAAAUACAAACAUUGUAGGUGGAAAUGUAAUUCCUGUUUGAUCCCGCAGCUAGAAUGGUGGAGAAAGUAUAAAUAUUGGAAGUGGCUUCAAAUACUUCAGAUGUAAACUAACCAAGAGUAAGUGGCUGAUUCUCUAAGGCAGAGCAGGGACUGGAGACCACUCCCCACACCCUGCCUGUUGACCUUGCUCCAUCUGGAGGGAUCGGAGAAGGAGGCCCGCUUCUGUGUUUGCGUUUGCGGAGACUGUGGUGUUUCUGACUCGUGCUCUGUAACUGUGCCCACCUCGCAAUAAAACACCUUCGUUGACUCAGCGACAAGGUCUCUGUCCAUUUCCUGCAGUCCUGUGUCCUCAUCGGCUUUGUGAGAAGGUCC